This 5285-nucleotide long non-coding RNA is filed under the name Vitis vinifera (wine grape). RNAcentral's name for it is "long non-coding RNA (VVIN_LNC002694)". The record is from RNAcentral. Lineage: Eukaryota; Viridiplantae; Streptophyta; Magnoliopsida; Vitales; Vitaceae.
UCUCAUAUUUGAGCUACUAUGAAAGAUACUAAAUAAAAUUGUAUAUAAUUAAAAUUAGUGAGAAACUUAAAUAUUUUCAAAUUAUUUAACACAUGUUAAAAUAAUAUAUAUUAAAGUUUUACAGUUAAUUUUUUUGUUCCUUCCACAAACAUAGCUCUCUCUAAGAAUUACUAUCGUCUAUUUUGUCAUGUAGGUUCAGUAGGUACCUAAAAUUUCUCCCUCGUUUUGUCAUGUACUCCACAAUGUGGUUUCAAUUUACUUCUUGUUUUCUAGUUCUUAUCCAUACCAGCAUGCCAUCAGUAUGUUGAGUUGCCUAUUAUUAACAUUUGUUAAAUGUGCAAAGCCUGAAAGUAACAAUGUACUUGCACUAGGAUUAUUUAGACAAAACACCAACAGAUUCAGAGGCUAAAAAUAUAUAACCAUGUCCUAAAUUUUUUAACAAAUUACAAUCCAGAGACAUUCAUCACUAACAAAGAGUUCAAAUGAAAUGUAAUUAGAUUGCUGCCAAUCAAGGCAACAAGCUAUUCCAAUCCACAAAAGUUUAUAUCAGCAGGCAUCAAAUUCCUGGCCACCAAGAGUUCUAUAACCAACUUCAAAGCAUAACUUCUUAAACACAUUUAUAUGAUAUAAUAAUAAUAAUAAAGUACAAAUCCCAAGUUAAUGUCAUUAUUCCCUCAAAAUGCUACAGUAUAGCAAAUAAGAUUAAAUCUUUUGUUCUUCCCCUCCCCCCCCCCCCCCUCCUCCCCAGGAAUUACAGGCAUUCCCCCGGUACACGGAUGAUUAAAUUAAAAUUAUAAAUCCAAAAUAUUAAACCAAAAGGACUGAUACCGAUCGAUCAGAAAUUGAGAAUUCCACAUAUCAACUUGGAAAUCGUAGAUAUUUUAGAAUAAAAGAAGAAGAAUGAUUGAUUCUACUAUGAAAUUUUAAUACCAAUCUUUCAAAUCAUCCACCAGAUGGUCGCCACACCCUUUCCAUCAAAAUUUCAAAUGUUCCACUCCAAAAGAUCGUAUCCCCUGUUAAAGUCCAAUCUGAAAGUAAUCAAUCAAUACAAAGAACGGUUCGUGUUGAAGGCGAAAAAGAGUAAAAAUCCAAGCUGACGAGUUCAUAUAAUCAAUAAAAAGAAUGAUUCGUAAGGGGAAAGAAACCUGAAACCACGAGCUUUAAAAAUUCGACCAUCAAAAGGUCACUCCAUGAAAUCCAUAAAUCAUACACCUCACACCUAUCACUGUGAAACCCAAAACUCAUCCUCCUCAUCGAUCUCCGUGAAUCUUAUAAAUCAUCCCCUCAAUUGAGUCAUUUUAGUAAAUCAUCACUCUCUUGCAGGUACGGUCUUGAAUUGAUCCUGCCCCGAAAAAUCCUAACAAAAAUUCUUUAAGAAAUCUUUCCAUCGUCUUAUCCAUGAAUCCUCCCAUAUUCAUACCAAAUGAUGGAAAAUAAAUAAAUAAAUAAAUAAAACCUCUAUCUGGAUAGGCACCGGAAUUUUCAUACGUGUGUACGCACAUAGACUUGUACUAUAUGCACAGAGACAACAUGUACUUUACGCACAGAGACAUGUAUCGUACACGUCCAAUACUGUACACAGAGAUCAGACGCAUACUGUAACAACGAGAACCGAUGUGAAAUGCACCCACAGAGAAGACGGGUUCCAUGCUCAAAGAGCCAACGUUUAACGUAGACGAUGCGUCGAUGACCAGAGGCUCCAUGCAAGAUUCUCUCCAUUCAAGAAACAUCAUCUGGAGACUAGAAAUCUAAGAAGGAUGUCAAAAAUCCUUAAAGAAAAUAAAUUCGGCUAGAGGCAAAAACCAUUUGAUGCAUAUAUAGAAAUAUCAUUCAAAAAGAACAUGUUUGACUCUAUGAAUCAGGCUCCUGAAAACAAAUUGUCAAGGAAACAAUCAAAAUAAAGAAUUUUGUCCAAAGCCUUUAUCUUCUAUUAUUAUCUAAUAAUUCCCCCACUACAAAGCCCAAACAAUCCUCUUGCACAUGACUUACCCCCUCCUUUUGUUAGCCAAUUUGAAGUUUACAUAAAAGGAAAUCCUAGUGGGAUCAUGGAUAUAUUUUUAAUGGAAAUCCUAUUAUAAUCUGUAUUUUGGCUAUAGUAUAUUUUAUGAUACACAAUAUGACAUGCCACACCACAAUACAACAAACAAAACAUACACACAUACACAUUCAGCAUUGAAAAAAAAUUUUGUUAACAGAAACACAUUGCCCUCACAAGAUAAGAAUGAAUUGAGCAAAUUUAUGUGAAAGUAAGAUAGAAUUAGUUGCGAAAGAGUUAAAAGUAAGACAAACAAGACAGAAUUUCAAAAGGGGAAAACUCUCAAAUCAUUGGAUUAGUUGGGAUUGACGGGGCUCGAACCCGCAACUUCCGCCUUGCAAUAGCAUUGUUGUCACCAAUUGAACUACAAUCCCAAGGACAGGUCACAAUGGUCAAUAUAAAUAAUCAAACAAACUGCACAAAUUAGUACUUACAUACAUUUUGAAAAUCAUACAUCUUUAAAAUAGACCUUGUAAGUAAAAAGAAAAAUCAAUUCAUGUUAUAUGUUGUCAACCCCACACACCACAUCAUAUUAUUUCCUGCAGAAAUAACAAACAAUUAUAAGCCCAAAAGACAAUGAAUUCAAAAUCAUGAAACCUACACACAAAAUAAUGAGAAGUUUAAAGCAAGGGAAAUACAAAAUGGAACGUUUUUCAAAGAUGAGGCCAUGCCCUAUAUAAAGUAUAAGAUAAAAGCCAAUAAUUGCAUAUGAAAAAAGAAAAAAAAGAAAUAUAAGAUAAAAGCCCAAUAAGUGCAAAACACACAUUUUCUUCAUUCAUCUGAAAAUGAAAACAAAAGCAGAAGUGUACCAACCUCUACUUCUCUUGUCCUGAAGAAUAUAUGCAAAUUUGUUUAAUAUAAUUAUCAAAGCAUUCUUAUAAAGAUUUCAAAACUCUCAAAGGCAUAUAAUCAUAAAGCAUUCUUACAACCCCUCGUAUUCAAACUCUGAUUGUUCAAUCAGCUGAUCCUCAUCAAUAAGAUAUUGUUCAAAUCAUCCAACCAUUCUACCUACACAUGGAAAUAAUGAGAAAAUAAAAAAAUGGCAAAAUAGAACUCUCUGGAGUUUGGUGGCAAACAAUUGGCUUGUCAAGUGCUAAACUCAUAAAAGGAAGUAAAAUAAAAAAAAUAUCCACAACAAAUGGUGAUUCUCAUUAGAGGACCCUUAGGUUGCCAUAGAUGAAAAUCUACCUAAAACAAAUAUUUCAUAGAAAGUCUUGGACUAAAGGUGAAAUUAUUAAUGCAAAAGACAAGCACACAAAGCACAUGAAAAUGGGAAAUGAAACCCUUGUUUUCCAAAUAUGAGCGAGAUUGUGAGAUAAACCUACGAUGAAAUGGGAAAUGAAACCCUAGUUUUCCAAAUAUGAGCGAGAUUAUGAGAUAAACCCAUGAUGCCCAUUCCACAGUAUUUUUAUUUAUUGCAUUUUGUAUAUACAACAAAGGAGACCAACCUCUUCCAGUUAACAACAUCACUUACUUCCUCCAGUUGUGGAAAAACAUGCAGAUACUUGGAGAUGAUCAUCAAAGCAUACUUAUAAUACCUAGUUAACCCAACAUUGAUGGAGAUGAGUACAUUGCCAAAAAACAAAUUGGAAGAAAUCCGAAAGAUCAGGUUUCUAAACCCAUACUUAGAAAUAGAAAAUAAAAGAAACCAUAAAUAAUAUAAAAGUUUAAGAAUGAAUGUGAUCUCCCCAUCUGAUGACCCAAGCUUUUAAGUUGGUAAAAUAGCUGCCAUGCAACAUACAUUACUUCAGCAUUAUUGACAUAGCUCCACUCUAUCAACAUCAUAGAUGCUAUGCACAAAAAUUGGGACAUCUCUUAGCUAACCUGCACACACAUAAAUUACCAACCCUGCAUCCCAUGAUUCAUCCUAUUUAAAGAAACUGUUAAAGUAUAUAUGCUUCAAAUAAAAACCAAAUCACAAAUCAAAUAUCUUAAAAGGAUUGAAAGAUGACAUGCUGAUACCAAAAAAAAAAGAGGGAACGGCCAACUUUGAUUAAUGAAAAAUAAUUCAUAUUAAGAGUGAAAAAAAAUAAAUGAAAGAAAUGAACUUAUCUUCAUUGUCAACCUGGAUAACUUAAGCUAACUAUCAUACCUAUUUCCCAUAGAAACCACAAUUAUCAUUAGAAAACAAUUUUCUAGCCGGGUGCCCACCAAGUCAUGCAUACCACAUGCAUUGAAAAGAGCAGAAAAAUGCUGACAUACAACUAAAACCUAAAAAUCACUCAAGAAAAAAACAGCCCCUAAUAUAACUUCAAAAAUCCAUGUCAUGUCAAUAUUGUUUAUCUGAUUGAUAACAGUACAAAUUCCAGAUGAGGAACCUGAACCAUGGAUGACUCGCAUGUUCAAGGAAUAAACUCCAACACAAUCUUGUUGUAGCAAAAUACAAACACAGACAUGGGUUAAAACCCCACAUCCCACCAUGUGUGCAUUUCAAAAAAGCAAAAACAAUGAGCAUCUCUCUUCCCAUUAUUAAGUGUACUUCUACAGUGUAUUGAGUAGCAGGACCUAAAAUCUAGUCAAAUUUGUGUUUCCAUAUUCCUACAACAACACUCCCUAUUCAAAAGCUUAUCAGGGCCAUGGUCUGUUAUAGGUGAGACAAAUCCACUACCAUAGAAAAUAUAUCUCACAUAGAAUUUGAGAAUGUAAAAAAACCAAAUCACCAAAAUUUUACCUCAAAAACUUGCAGAACAAGGAAAAAGCAUCAAAAGGAAACCAAGAGAGGAAACAAAACCCACCUUACACCCCCAAAAUUACCCAACAUUAAUUCAUGAUGCAGUGUCACAGAUUAUUGAAGUAGAUAAAAAAACAUUCAGAUUGAAUUUCAAAGCAUACAAACUUAAAAUCCAUCAGCCUGUAUAUAGGAACAACUGAUAUCCCAGAGCUAUAACUAAAGAGGAACCAAGGAUUUAGGAGAUUCCUCAAAAGAAAUCCAACACCUUCCAUACAGUAGGUCAUACUUUACCGUCCAACAUAGCAGCAUGCCAUCAGUAUGUUGAGUUCCCAAAACGUUUGUUAAAUGUGCAAAGCCUACAAGUAGUAACAAUGUACUCGCACAUUAACCUUUUUAGACAAAACACCAACAGAUUCAGAGGCUAAAAAUAUACAACUAUGUCCCAAAUUUUUUAACAAAUUACUGACAAAACCAGGGACAUUCAUUACUAUCAAUUGAAAUGUAAUCAGAUUGCUGCCAAUCAAGGCAACGCAUUGCUUAUUCAAAGCUAUUAAUCCAAUCCACCCAUAAAAGCUCAUU